AACGAACGCUGGCGGCAUGCCUAACACAUGCAAGUCGAACGAAUGUAGCAAUACAUGAGUGGCGAACGGGUGAGUAACGCGUGGGAACCUGCCUAGUGGUAGGGAAUAACCGCGGGAAACUGCGGCUAAUACCCUAUGAGCCCUCCGGGGGAAAGAUUUAUCGCCAUUAGAGGGGCCCGCGUCGGAUUAGCUAGUUGGUGGGGUAACGGCCCACCAAGGCGACGAUCCGUAGCUGGUCUGAGAGGAUGAUCAGCCACACUGGGACUGAGAUACGGCCCAGACUCCUACGGGAGGCAGCAGUGGGGAAUAUUGGACAAUGGGGGCAACCCUGAUCCAGCAAUGCCGCGUGAGUGAAGAAGGCCUUAGGGUUGUAAAGCUCUUUCGGCGGGAAGAUGAUGACGGUACCCGCAGAAGAAG
This 417-nucleotide ribosomal RNA is filed under the name uncultured bacterium. RNAcentral describes it as "bacterial SSU rRNA". It matches the Rfam family "Bacterial small subunit ribosomal RNA", at positions 29 to 490 of the family's 1533-position model. The record is from RNAcentral.